Molecule: long non-coding RNA, 813 nt
Organism: Sarcophilus harrisii (Tasmanian devil)
Lineage: Eukaryota; Metazoa; Chordata; Mammalia; Dasyuromorphia; Dasyuridae
Exons: 3
Source: RefSeq, a predicted model, not a curated record
UGAUGACUAAGCAAUCUCUUUAUUGGGAACUGAACAGGAAGAGCCACUGACUAACUUAGUGACUCAACAAGGAUCCUGAGAGAUGGAGGUAUCUAGUGUUGGAGGCAACCUCUUGAGUUUGGAGACCCUGGGUCCCUUCAUCAGCUACCUGGCAUCAGAGAGAGUUGUUGAAUUAGAUGGGACACUACUGGAAGGCAGAGAACCAACUCCUGGCCUGGCUUGUCAGAAUAUAUGGAUUUUGAGGAAGAUAGUACAGAGCCAAGGUGCCCUGGUGAUCCCAUGGCCUGGAAGACCUUGCAGCCAAGACUGUAAGCAGGAUGGUACAGUGAGCCAGCCCAGCAUGGAAGCUUUGAGAAGCCAGGGGUGCUUGGGACUCAAGCCCAAAGGGAUUGUGGAUUUGGAAAUAGCACUGUGCUUUAUAGGAAAUGAGCUAAGCUAUAAACUAAAUUCCCUUCUACUCCCUAGAGACUGAAAUGGUGUAAGGAGGAAAGGGAGGGUUAUAUCUCCCCUGAAUUGAGACAAUAACUUUGUAUAUUUAUGAUUAUCUUUUGAAGUAAAUAUUUCUGUGUAAAAGCAUUUUUGAUUAUUCAUAGUUAAUGGAACUGGGGUAAAGGAGGCCAUCUCUUACAAUUGAGAGAACAACAUUACUGGGGUCCAGAGUCAUUUUCAGAAAAUCUUCUCAUAUUCACAUCUUAAUACUCAUAAUUCUUCUUAAGAGAACAGGAGAACUUAGGGAGAAUGGUGAAAUGUAACCUGACCUUAAUUAAGGCAAUAGGAGUCAAAGUAGUCAAUGUUAUACUCCUUUUAUAGAGA